Non-coding RNA from Trachemys scripta elegans, 82 nucleotides. NCBI's taxonomy places the organism in Eukaryota, Metazoa, Chordata, Testudines, Emydidae. The record is from the annotation of a RefSeq genome assembly.
GUAGUUGUGUCUGAGUGGUUAAGGCAAUGGACUAGAAAUCCAUUGGGGUUUCCCCAUGCAGGUUCGAAUCCUACUAACUAUG